RNAcentral lists this ribosomal RNA (706 nucleotides) under uncultured bacterium. RNAcentral describes it as "bacterial SSU rRNA". It matches the Rfam family "Bacterial small subunit ribosomal RNA", at positions 771 to 1501 of the family's 1533-position model. The record is from RNAcentral.
AACAGGAUUAGAUACCCUGGUAGUCCACGCCGUAAACUAUGGAUGCUAGCUGUAAGAGGUAUCGACCCCUCUUGUAGCGAAGCUAACGCGUUAAGCAUCCCGCCUGUGGAGUACGGUCGCAAGACUAAAACAUAAAGGAAUUGACGGGGACCCGCACAAGCGGUGGAGCGUGUUGUUUAAUUCGAUGGUAAACGAAGAACCUUACCCAGGUUUGACAUCCUUGGAAUUUUGCCGAAAGGCGAGAGUGCUUUAUUGAGCCAAGUGACAGGUGUUGCAUGGCCGUCGUCAGCUCGUGUCGUGAGAUGUUUGGUUAAGUCCAUCAACGAGCGCAACCCUUAUGGUCUGUUGUAUUUCUCAGGCCAGACUGCCCUGGUAACAGGGAGGAAGGGGGGGAUGAUGUCAGGUCAGUAUUACCCUUACAUCUGGGGCUACAAACACGCUACAAUGGCCGGUACAAAGGGCUGCCAAGUCGCGAGACGGAGCAAAUCCCAUCAAAGCCGGCCCCAGUUCGGAUAAGAGGCUGAAACUCGCCUCUUUGAAGUCGGAAUCGCUAGUAACGGUAGGUCAGCUAUACUACCGUGAAUACGUUCCCGGGUCUUGUACACACCGCCCGUCAAACCAUGAAAGUCGCCAAUACCUGACGUGUGAGCUUCGCCUCGCCCUAAGGUAGGGGAGAUGAUUGGGGUUAAGUCGUAACAAGGUAACC